GUCGAGCGAGAAAAGGGGAGCAAUCCUCUGAGUACAGCGGCGCACGGGUGAGUAACACGUGGGUAAUCUGCCCUGGAGUGGGGAAUAACACCGGGAAACCGGUGCUAAUACCGCAUACGAUAACGGAGUCUGCGGAUUUCGUUAUGAAAGGAGCAAUUCGCUCUAGGAGGAGCCCGCGGCUGAUUAGCUAGUUGGCGAGGUAAUGGCUCACCAAGGCUUCGAUCAGUAUCCGGUCUGAGAGGACGGUCGGACACACUGGAACUGAGACACGGUCCAGACUCCUACGGGAGGCAGCAGUGGGGAAUUUUUGGCAAUGGGGGAAACCCUGACCAAGCAACGCCGCGUGGGUGAUGAAGUAUCUCGGUACGUAAAACCCUUUCGACGGGGAAGAAAGCCGCAAGGCUUGACGGUACCCGUAGAAGAAGCCCCGGCUAACUCCGUGCCAGCAGCCGCGGUAAUACGGGGGGGGCAAGCGUUGUUCGGAAUUACUGGGCGUAAAGGGUGCGUAGGCGGUUCGCUAAGUUGGAUGUGAAAACUCUGGGCUCAACCCAGAGCCUGCAUCCAAUACUGACGAGCUAGAGUUCUGGAGGGGAUAGCGGAAUUCCUGGUGUAGCGGUGAAAUGCGUAGAUAUCAGGAGGAACACCGGUGGCGAAGGCGGCUAUCUGGACAGAGUCUGACGCUGAGGCACGAAAGCUAGGGGAGCAAACAGGAUUAGAUACCCUGGUAGUCCUAGCCCUAAACGAUGGAUACUUG
Molecule: ribosomal RNA, 754 nt
Filed under: uncultured bacterium
Lineage: Bacteria
Description: bacterial SSU rRNA
Rfam family: Bacterial small subunit ribosomal RNA
Source: RNAcentral